This is a long non-coding RNA of Marmota flaviventris (yellow-bellied marmot), 1057 nucleotides long. RefSeq lists it as uncharacterized. Lineage: Eukaryota; Metazoa; Chordata; Mammalia; Rodentia; Sciuridae. The record is from RefSeq and is a predicted model, not a curated record.
UACAAGCCCUAAACUGCAGAACACGGGUGCCAGGUGGAGGGUGUAAAGAAGCCCUGAGAGGCUGCAGAUCAUGGACACCUGGACGGUGGGUCCUCGUGUCCCACGCCCUCAUCCCAGAGUGGUGCCUUCGAGAGGGAGAUUCUCAAUAAAUAUGGCCGAAGGACUCAACCUGUGGGACUCUCUUCCAAGCAGUCCGGGGUCCCUCGUUGGCUGGCACCCUCUACCUGGUUCAGUGGUGAACUUCGAUGCUGGCCGGUGCUGUGGAACCCAAAGGAUCCAUGCCCUGUUCCCACACUGGGCAGCAUCUCUUCAUGGAGGCCCACUCCACCUGUGAGUCCUUAAACGUGCUCUCCAACUCCCGUCUGCAAGCCUGACUAGCACUCUCAUGAACCACAUUGCCCUGUUUCUUCCAAGAGAAGAGUUGAGGAUAUCUUCUGGCAAGACUGACUUGUUUUUCUGACAAAGCAGCUUUUCAUUUCGAGAUGGCAUUGUUUCCCAGGUCCAAACAACAGCUACUGAAUCUCAAUAUGGAGCCCAUAGAUCAACACAGGAAGCCACAGAAGGAAAGGGCUUUAUCAAUCCUUACUAGCAAUCUCCUUUAAAUAGAUUACAUUACGAUAAAUCAGCUGAAUGUUAUAUGUUGCUCUUACUUGGACUUACUUAUUACCUGUUUUAUCUUAAAGAAAAAGUCUUCGUUUUUUUUUUACUUUCACUUCCCCAAACAACUCUCAAAUUCAUUACACCAACAGUCAAACUCAUACUCCUAUUUAAGUAUUCGGGUUGUAAAACAGCAAACUAUAUUCUUCUUAAUGAGUUUUCAGGUCUUUUAUUUUUAUUAGCAGCAAGAAAUAUGAAGCUUGGCACAUAGUUACUCAACAAAUAUUCAGUUAUCCUUUUGGCUUCACUCAGCUAGGUUACGUUUUCCAGCCCAAAUGAGACCAUGUGUGUGAGACUGCCAUUAAUAGUGCAUGCCCAUGUCUGUUUUCUCCUUGAGGUUUUGCUACUGACUUCAGCUUUUAAGUAAUUAUUGACAAUAUAAAUGAGUCUACUUUGUAAA